UGGUACGUACUUGUAUACGUUUAUCAACAAUCACUUGCUCUGCACUCCGCUACUAGCAGCUAGUUGAAAACUCAAAAUACUACUAGUACUGUGCGAGUAUCGGUAGUUGUUUUCCUUUAAUCUCCGGCGUUCGCUAUUCCCAUUUUAUGCACCACUGAAAUCCGUCGGAGCAGGGAAAUAAGCGCCUAUACUUUUCGUCGCAGUUACACCCCCUGAACCGCUGCCUUUUCACCAUUCGACUUCAUGAUCGGGCCACGCGGUCUUUCGCUCGAUAGGGCGGCAAGCAAUUUCGCUGGGGCGUUUGCUUAAAGCUCGUCACGUCCAGAAGUGGCAUUCUGAUUUCACACUUAAAACUAGCUAAUUUAACCGAGGCGCUAUCUGAUGUGCGAGGCCGAUCACCGAUUGGAUCACUCUUGAAUACGUGGAAAUAUAAUUACAGUAUACGGGAUUAUUUAUUGUCAAUCGAAUUCGAUGACUUGCGUAACAAAUACAGAGCAAAAAUUAGAAUUAGGCUGGAUUAACAAGUGUCGGCGUCUCCGAUUUCGGUUCCAUCUUUACCCGCAUAUCUCCACAUCAACCGCUUGGAUAUUUUGUUUCAUGAAUGAAUGAUUUUCGCAUUGCCCCAAUAUCCGCAACCUCCAGGAUACGGAAGUCUUCAGGACUUCUUGAGUUGCGCACCGCACCGCCGAUCUUCUUGUGCUGUUGCUCCAUUUCCGGGACGUUCGAGCCCGACAAUUUUGAUGGCAGCAUUCCAGGUUGUAAUGUCACGGAUUCCUAAUUAACAGGCGGGAGUACUGGUUAAUGAAUCUGUACGAUGGAUCGCUUGCUCGUGUCGAGAUAGCCAGGAACAAACAUCGGUGGAUGUGAACGACGAAACUACAGAAUCAUUUAAUGCUUAAUAACCGCCGAACCGGUAUCGUUUACAAAGAAAACGUUCAUAAUGAACGCAUAUUUUCGCAGACUCACUCAGGCAGUUUUCGGAUACUGUUUCGGCAGGUUGUUUUUUUCUUGAUCUCGUCGGCCUUCAAUGUACGGUAUCUGGGUGGAUUGCGGUC
This is a long non-coding RNA of Paramacrobiotus metropolitanus, 1055 nucleotides long. RefSeq lists it as uncharacterized. The transcript is spliced from 3 exons. The record is from RefSeq and is a predicted model, not a curated record. NCBI's taxonomy places the organism in Eukaryota, Metazoa, Tardigrada, Eutardigrada, Parachela, Macrobiotidae.